This 465-nucleotide ribosomal RNA is filed under the name uncultured bacterium. RNAcentral's name for it is "partial 16S ribosomal RNA". It matches the Rfam family "Bacterial small subunit ribosomal RNA", at positions 339 to 795 of the family's 1533-position model. The record is from RNAcentral.
CUACGGGUCGCUGCAGUGGGGAAUAUUGGACAAUGGGGGAAACCCUGAUCCAGCAAUGCCGCGUGUGUGAAGAAGGCCUGCGGGUUGUAAAGCACUUUCGGUUGGGAGGACUGCUUCUAGCACUAAUAUUGUUGGAAGUUGACGUUACCUCCAGAAGAAGCACCGGCUAACUCCGUGCCAGCAGCCGCGGUGAUACGGAGGGUGCAAGCGUUAAUCGGAAUUACUGGGCGUAAAGCGCGCGUAGGCGGCGAGAUCAGUCGGGUGUGAAAGCCCCGGGCUUAACCUGGGAACUGCAUCCGAUACUGUCUAGCUUGAGUACAGGAGAGGAGAGUGGAAUUCCACAUGUAGCGGUGAAAUGCGUAGAUAUGUGGAGGAACACCAAUGGCGAAGGCAGCUCUCUGGCCUGAUACUGACGCUGAGGUGCGAAAGCGUGGGGAGCAAACAGGAUUAGAUACCCCUGUAGUC